UCGAACGGUAGCAGGAAGAAGCUUGCUGCUUUGCUGACGAGUGGCGGAGGGGUGAGUAAUGUCUGGGAAACUGCCUGAUGGAGGGGGAUAACUACUGGAAACGGUGGCUAAUACCGCAUAACGUCGCAAGACCAAAGAGGGGGACCUUCGGGCCUCUUGCCAUCAGAUGUGCCCAGAUGGGAUUAGCUUGUUGGUGAGGUAACGGCUCACCAAGGCGACGAUCCCUAGCUGGUCUGAGAGGAUGACCAGCCACACUGGAACUGAGACACGGUCCAGACUCCUACGGGAGGCAGCAGUGGGGAAUAUUGCACAAUGGGCGCAAGCCUGAUGCAGCCAUGCCGCGUGUAUGAAGAAGGCCUUCGGGUUGUAAAGUACUUUCAGCGGGGAGGAAGGUGUUGUGG
Molecule: ribosomal RNA, 401 nt
Filed under: Salmonella enterica subsp. enterica serovar Heidelberg
Lineage: Bacteria; Pseudomonadati; Pseudomonadota; Gammaproteobacteria; Enterobacterales; Enterobacteriaceae
Description: bacterial SSU rRNA
Rfam family: Bacterial small subunit ribosomal RNA
Source: RNAcentral